Molecule: ribosomal RNA, 253 nt
Filed under: uncultured bacterium
Lineage: Bacteria
Description: partial 16S ribosomal RNA
Rfam family: Bacterial small subunit ribosomal RNA
Source: RNAcentral
GACGGAAGGUGCAAGCGUUGCUCGGAAUCACUGGGCGUAAAGGGUGCGUAGGCGGCUUGGUGGGUCUGGUGUGAAAGCCCCGGGCUCAGCCCGGGAAGGGCGCUAGAAACUGCCGAGCUCGAGUGCCGGAGGGGAGAGUGGAAUUCCUGGUGUAGCGGUGAAAUGCGUAGAUAUCGGAAGGAACACCAGUGGCGAAGGCGGCCGUCUGGGCCAAUACUGACGCUGAGGCACGAAAGCAUGGGUAGCGAACAGG